UACAGAGGUCCCAAGCGUUGUUCGGAUUCAUUGGGCGUAAAGGGUGCGUAGGUGGUGCCGUAAGUUGGGUGUGAAAUCUCGGGGCUCAACCCCGAAACUGCAUUCAAUACUGCGGUGCUCGAGUACUGGAGAGGAGAUCGGAAUUCACGGUGUAGCAGUGAAAUGCGUAGAUAUCGUGAGGAAGACCAGUGGCGAAGGCGGAUCUCUGGACAGUUACUGACACUGAGGCACGAAGGCCAGGGGAGCAAACGGG
RNAcentral lists this ribosomal RNA (253 nucleotides) under uncultured bacterium. RNAcentral's name for it is "partial 16S ribosomal RNA". It matches the Rfam family "Bacterial small subunit ribosomal RNA", at positions 524 to 776 of the family's 1533-position model. The record is from RNAcentral.